This 269-nucleotide unclassified non-coding RNA is filed under the name Hevea brasiliensis (rubber tree). Lineage: Eukaryota; Viridiplantae; Streptophyta; Magnoliopsida; Malpighiales; Euphorbiaceae. The record is from RNAcentral.
GGCAAACAUAUCAUGGUAAAACUUGUAAGACUUAAAUACGGAUUAAGGGAAGCAGGGAUGCGACCCAUUCUAUAUGCCCCAACCAUCUCACUGCAGGUGUCAUCAAAUCUACCCUAUACAGGCGUUGAAAAGGUGGGCCUGGUCUAUGUUAGACAUUUUUGGACCUCAGCACCAAAAUAAAUACAAAUAUAUGUAAGUACUGAAAUUGGGCAGGCCAGGUAAGGGCAGACCCUAUACAAACUUAAAUCCAAAGCCAGCCUACGUUUGAG